GAGAGAGAGAGAGAGGGAAAGAAAUGUCACCCGGAGCCCGGGCCCGCGGGGGAGAGGUGGCGCGUUAGAGAUGUGUGUGGGAGAGAGGGAGCGAGCGAGAGAGAGAGAGAGGGGGAGCGAGACCUCCGCUGGCCCCGCGAACUUGUCAAGCCACCGCUACAGUGCAAAACACCAAGCUUUUGGCCUCAAAAAGCCUAGACCAUCAUGGCUACGAAAACUGCUGCUACUCAGAGACCAUGUAAUUCUGGAGCUCCUUAAGGAAAAAAUAGUGCGAUGCAACAUCAGAACAGUGGCCAAGUGAUCUUCUCCACAGCAGCCAUGAACUUCAAUCUUGAACUGAAGAAGACUCAUCAAAUGCCUAAGGAAAGACAGUAUGGAGUUGGAAGAGAAGCAUGGAUCUCCAUGAAGGGCAGUCAGUUAUAGUCAUGGUCAGCAUGCUUGGUUGGUCUGCCACUUGACACGUGUAGCUCAGAGCUGGCCACAAUGUGAGCUGCUUCCUGUUCUCCUAAACAUCAGAAGCUGAAAUUUAGAGAAAUCUGUUUAGAAGAGACUGGGAAAACAGCCAGGCUAGCUCAGUGCAAGUGUGUUGGUGGCACCUGUAAGCAUGCAGGUGUGUGGAAGAACAGGUCCUGUUCUCGCUGUUGUUACUCCCACAUAGGCAGACUCUGUAAUUGAUUAUGUGUGGGUAGGGCCCUAUUGAAAUUCAGGAGAUUCUGCAGUAGUGCGGGGUUCUUUUUGUGAGAGUUCAGUUGCAAGAUCAGGACCCUACUGUGACUCCUUACUGUGCAUUCUGUCACUGUCUCAUUGGUUGUACUGGAACCUGCCUGUUGGGAUAAUUACCAAAUACUAUAUUCCUCAAAACUUCUUAAUGGCACUGAGGCUUUGUGGAUAGUUGGUCACAUGAUGAGAAAAUUCAGCUGUAAGUACAUUAAAAUGAUUGACUUUUUCAAUAGUUAGUCUUUACUGAUGUUGGCAAACUAAUAGUGAUAAAAAUGUGAAUCAAGAGGUUUGACUUAUGUCAAAUUACUUCAGUUCUUUUUAGAAAAUAUAUAGAGUAUACCCAUUAAGGAUCUUAUUAUUCUUAGGUAAUUCACCAUGGGACCCUGAAGUUCUUCCCUACUGCAGUUUGGUAGGGAGUUGAGAGUUGUUUGUUUUCUUUAUUUUCAGAAUGGUGUGUCUCUGACUUGCUCUGUGUUUUGAUGGAUAAACUUUUUGAAAUUUAUUGAUCUAUAAAACUUGUUUAUACCACUAAUAUUUGUAUAGAUAUUGCAAACUGAUUUACUAACGUAAUUGUCUUGCUGGGUUGAAUACUGAAAUGUUAAUAAAUAUACACUUAUAAUUGUGUCAGUGUACCUUGGUUAAAUUAAACUGAGCUGGCAUUAUGAGUGAAUUUGAUCAUACAUGCUGAUUAGCUAUAGUCUUAGGCAGGGACUACAUAUUACCCAUAUCAUAUGUCAGUGGAUUCACCCAAAAAUAGCUAUAAAUAUCUAUGCUUGGGUUAAGGAGGAAGUUCUUUUCCUGUAGUUAUGGGUACAGUCAUGGCUUUGACUCCUGUUUUUAUAUACAAAUGAGCAAAGACUACAUGUAGGUGCUUUCCCUGUAUAACAAAAGGGGCAUUGUAAACUCUGUGCCCUUUUUUAUGAUGUUGUAUUUCCUUUCUGGUAUUUAAAUUCAAGGAUGUUUUCAGCUGUGUCUUAAUCCAAAAAAACAAAAGGAAGACCUGGAAAUGUUACUGAAUUUGUGGAUAAUUACCAAGGGGCUGUAAAGGUCUGGAGGAAUUGUGUGUAGGGACAAUUAGAGAUUCUUUCUCAUGAAGCAAGGACACAGAUAAUAAUUGAUGAAUAAAGGUUAAGGAGCACAGGAUUAUUUUUAUUGCUUGGCACAAGAGCAGCAUGAAAUGAAAGUAAUUUGAAGAAAGAGCAAGACCAAAAGAGAAAUAGCUACUGGUAUUUUUCAUUGCACUGAAUAUAUGAUUGAUUUAAGCUUAAGAUUUUCAGUAAAUGCUUUUCUUGAAGUUUUUUGUUUUCUUCUGCUGGAGAGGAGUAGAAGAACUUCGAAGUGUUAAAGAAGACUCAGUGACUACUUGUGAAUUACAGUGUGAGUUGGGGAUUCAAGAUGACAGUUACAAUUAAGAAGAGAAGACAAUGGGUUGCUAUAUAAAAUUAGUGCCAAGCAGAAGCCUUAAUUUCUUGUUCAAACACAAAACUUAAUGAUUUUGAAAUGUAUCACCUUCAACAGCACUCAAACCACAAUUUUAUUAUGUUAAUUACAGGAUGGGUAUUUUCAGAGUUCUCAUUUAAAAACUUGAACAUUUAUUCUUUUGAGAUUUUUCAAUAUAAAAUGAAAUUGAGAUUUUUCAAUAUGAAGCGAAAUCAUGAUUUCAUUUCAGAAACUGAAAUGUUUCAGAACACUGAAUGUUUGAUUUUGCAUAAAAAAUCCUGAACAGUGUAUUUUCUUUUUAAAAUGUGUAGACCUAAAUGUUUGCCAUUCUCACCUUUUAAUCCUACUGGCCAUAUAUAUAUUUUACUUGCAGUAAGUUGGGUGAAAGAAAGGAAAGCAGAAUUAGAUUAGGUGAUUGCAAAAAACCCCUAAACACAGCCUUCUAGCUGAGCCUCUAGACCAGAAGUGCCUCAGAACAGAUCUAAUUUCAGAGGAGGAAGGGAAGGAAAGUGACAUGCCAGUGAGUGGGUAUGGGGAAUCCUCUGCAUGUGUCAUCUCUGUCUGAGUUUUUCGCUCAUCACCACUGAGAGGCAGAUCACCAGGGUGUGACUGCUUCCCCUUCCUGUGAUUGCAACUUCCACUACUAUGAGGGAGAUAAUGGUGGGGCAUAGCUCUGUUCUGCCUGCAGCAGCACUGCUACCAAUGUUUGGAAGAGAAGAAACUCUGAAUUAUCUCCUGCUGUAACCAGCUCUCCAAUACUCACUGCUGCUUAGCCCUGCUGUUAAGUACCUGAUCUGAUGGUCUCUUUCAUUUAACUCAUGCCAUGAUGCUAUAAAUGACUGAAACGAGGACCAAAGCAAGGAAAUGGAUAUCAAGAGAAGGAGAUGAUGUUUUGGAAUGUAGGGAGUGGGCAUUUGCUGCACAGCUACACUUUGUCCCCUCUUGAGAAUACCUCAAGAGCUGGAAUACCAAACUACAGCAAGAGAGUAAGUUUCCUUCUUUGCAUUGAGAAGGAAGAGCAAAGGAAUGUGCCUGAACAUUCAGCAUGUUAAUUGUAAGUCUUUGAGAUCUCUUCCCCUACUUUGUUUGCACUCUGCUUGUGUGGUGACUGUCCGGAAUGUAGCAUGUCUUUAUUUGUAUCGAAUGAGGCACUCCUCACAUUGUAACAUCAGGAACAUUGUUUUUCCUCAGCCCUUGAAAGUCAAAACAUGGUAGCAUAGAUAGCUGUAACAAGUUCAUAAUAAAAGUGACAUGAAAGAAUUUUCUUAUUUUGCAGUAUUUUUAGGAAAAACAAUGUUUUAUGUGUUUGAAAUACCUUUUCUUUUUCAAUCCUAAGCAGAAUUAAUGCAUGAAAAUUUUCUUCAGCAAUGCCCUCAGUUCCUUAUUUGCAGUUAGAACUAUUACUCUUUUGUUAGUUAGUUUUUUUUAAUCUAGGUUGAUGCCUUCACAAAACUUCUCUGAACCCUUUAUGAAUGACACCAUCAUGCUGUCAUUUGUUUUAUCAUAAAAUCUAGUGUAAACCUGUGUUUUAGGAAUCUUUUUCCCAUCCAUAAAGGAUGAUCAUUCUUCUCUGUCAGCAGGUUUUUCAUUGAUCAAGACUUUAUUAGAAAAUCUUUUACUUUGCCUUGACAAAAUGCGGCCUUGCCUUGCUGUCAAAGUGCUGCUCUACUGUAAAUACCAUUUUCCAAACGUACUCCUUUGCUAUUUUCAAUUUCCUGCUUUAUUUUAGAGCAAUAAAUAUAAGCUAUCUGUCUUUAUUUUCAAGGGUCAUCAGGACUACUUCUACCUGAUACCUCUCCUUCAGUACCAAGAGGUUGACUCUGGUUUUGAUCAACAUAUGACGCCUACUUCCUUCAUUCAGUCAUUGAAUUUUCAGACCACAUUGAAUAUUUUCUCCUCAGCUGCCUCUCAUGUAUUCAUUGACUUCUUCAUAAAUAGAAGUGUUCAUUAUCUUCCCUCUAAUUUUUUCUUGAAAGUUGUAUGCACUGUGAAGCUUUAAGCAAUCCAACUAGACAACAGUUAUACUGUGGGUACGUAGGUGCUAAUGCCUAUCACAGUAGUACUGUGUCAUUGCAUUUGGACUCUGCCAUAACCCCUCUGUUGCCACUUUAUGUAGAAUUUAAGUAUAUCUAUAUUUUGUUGUGUGUUUAUUCAUGGCCCAGUGUAAUACAAAAUGGCCCAUGGUGAGACCUUCCAAGAUUUAUGGUAUUACAGAUAAAUAAUAAUGAAUGUUCACUGGAUGCUGCAGCAUAGCUGUUGGAUUCUGUUGUGCCUAAUGCCAUGUCAGAAUUUAAUGCAGAAAGAAGGGGCUCCAAUCAGAGGCCUCACGAAAGGAAAAUAAGUGAGUUGCAGCCAACAGAAAAAAUGCUAGCCCCAGAGGCCUUCUCAGCUGUCAAACUCAAGUCUGUAGCUACUGCCAUUGUGUCCUGAAAGCUUCCCUGUCCCUGUCCCUGUCCCUGUCCCUCUCCCUGUCCCUCUCCCUCUCCCUCUCCUCCCUUCUCGUAUAAGGAAGUAAAUGCAAAUAUCACAAUGGUCUGCAGUGUAUGCAGAAGGUCUUCUUACUUUUGUAGCAAACUUCAUUUCAUUCCUGACACAGCAUCUCUUGGUACAGAAGUCUUUAAUAACCAUAAUUGUGCCAUUCAUCAGUCCUUUUUUCCAGUGCCAUUUGGUCUCUGUUGAGAAGGAACCUACACUGGUUUUUAUUUGGUAUCUUGGUAUGUCCCUGUCUCAUGAUGCUCAGCUUCCAUUGUGCUUCAAAAGUAAUGAGCCUUCAGAGAAAUGGUAAGGAUUAAUAAAUUUGGAAUUCCCCAGGCAUGUCACCCUCUUUCUGUAAGUGGGUCUGCAUGUAACUCCUUCUUUUAAAAGCACCCUGAAAUGUCAGUGUUUAGAUUGUAUAGAGAUGAUGGAAUGUUGAGUGCCUGGCUGAUUAUGGAGAUGGUAGAUUGGACUGUGCAGACAAAUGGUGCAGUACAUACCAAAGAAAAUAUAGUCCAAUAGACUAAUUUUAUCAGAAUAAGCCACAAAUUGUAGUUCUAUAUGGUUCUAUGGCUGAGUAGGAGAACUUUAGUAAGAGCUCUGGGCUAGUUGGAGAGAUGGAGGUGAAAUUGCUGUGAAAUACUCUGGGAGCCUGGGGAGUGUGUACAACCCAAAAGCUUGAUCCUAGCAACAGUUCUUGGUUAUAUAUGUAUAGACUGGAUAAACUGAAUGUUAGGUCUCAUUAGGCCAUCAUGCACAGGCUGCUAUUUAGAUAUCAUUGAGCACUAAUUUUUGAGCAAACAAGAUAGAGAAUCCAGAAGGAGAAAGACAGCCCUUGAUUUAGUCUAGAUCAACAUGCAACAAGUGACAGUGGAAGAACCAUUCAGUAGCGAGAUAUCAUACUCAAGUUUGUCGUACUUGUCAGAGAAAAAAAGCUUAAAAUAAUUUUUUUUUUAAAGUCCAGUCUUGUUUAAAAAAAAAAAAAUUGUAUACUAAUGAAGACACAGUUUAAAUAAAUAUUCAAAAUACACAGGGGCUUUGUUUUCUGAUUCUAACCCAAUUAAAUAAGCCUUUUCCAACACAAUUCAGCAGUAAAAGAAGCUACUAGAAAUAGAGAUUUUUUAAAAAGCAAAAUCCAAGCAAGCAAAGCAGAAAAGAGCACAGUUCUGGCAAGUGUAGACCUAGUAUGAGGCAGAACAAAAAGAUUUUGAAAUGCAAUGGACUAAAAUUCUAAAAGCCAAACCCCACAUAUUUCCAGUGUAAAUUUUGCUAGAUGAGAGGUGAGGUUAAUAGAUAGUUGUGGUUAAGGAGAAAGACAAAGCCAUUACAAAAAGAAAUUGAAAGAAAUUGAACUCAUUGUGCUGGCAAGGUUUAUGACAGGAUGAUUAGGGACAUCCCCAAAUAGGAGUUGUUUUUAUAGGGAGUAGUUCAGAUUUGAUAUCUCAAUAAAAGGUUUUUAAACAAAUUGAUUGAAUACACAUUAAUAAAUUGCCCAAUAACAUGCUGUUCAUUCAGUAGCCCUAGAACAAUUCAGAAAUUAAAUUGGUGAGCAAACCACGAACUGUGUUGUAUAAUCUGGUAUUUAAAUUAGCCUUGAUAACAGAGGAAUGGAAAGUAACAAAUGUGACCCUAGUUUUGAAAAGGAUUUUAGGGAUGGUCAUGGACUAAUGGACUAAAAAGUGAGGCUACCAUGACAGACAAAAUGCCAGUGAUUGUGAUGAAGCAUACUGUUUAUAGGAACAUGGAUAGGUGUAAUAGCAACCAUCAUGCCUUUUGUACAAGUAGUUUUGUCUUAGAGUUUUGCUAGUUAUUUGGAAGAGUCAUUUCCAGAUGCACAGGAAAAAGUGACCCAAAAGUUUUUAAAAGUUCUGUAACUGAAGACUGUUAACAAAAUGAAGUAGGGAAUCACUUAAAAUUCUUUGUGGAUUAGUAAAGGGUUAGAAGAUAAGGAACAGUACAGAGACUAAUGGGCAGUUUUAACACUACCCCCUCAUGGAGGUUUGUACUGGCACCUUUGCUGGUCCACCUGUUCCUAAACAGUCUGAAAAAGCACAAUUGUAAAUAUUGCAGAUGAUAAAAGGAAAAUAUUCAGUUGGAGGCAGACCUAAUGCUGACCCUGAAGAGCUGCAGAAGGAUCUCACAGCAGGACCUGUGGUGAUCCAGGAGCUGUGUCUGUCACAGUGGCCAGAUAUCGCUGACCCCACUGUCCAGCUGAAUCCAUCAUCAGAGAGAGGCAGUGGCUGUUGGAUUACAGCAGCCAUCAGCCCAUAAACCAUGAACUCAGCAGGCUGUGACCAGUCCUGCCACUUAGGAAGGCAGGGACUUGUAGCUGUUCUUUGUAACAGCAGGGGCUGCAAAAUGAAGAGAAGAUUCUUUCUCCCUGUUUUCUCAGAGUUUUAUAACCCCAACGAGCUUAAAGUACGUGAUUUGAACUUAGAGUUCCUGCCUGCUGUAGGGCUGGAAUAUCACUGUUAAAGUGAUAGGUAAUGUCUUGCUGCUGCUCUGAAAAGCCAGGGCUCUCAAGCCAUUUUAUGGUGUUUGCAUGGAUUUUUAGCAACUUCUAUUAAUUUCUUAAAGUGGUAUCUGGAUCUGUAAAUAAGUUUGUUGUCCUCAUUGAUUGAUGAUAAAUUUUUACACAUGAAUCAAGUGUAUACUAUUCCCAUUUUCUUAAAUCUGUAGAUGUUUUUUUCUUGUUCCUUUUUCUAGCUGUAGCAGUAUUAUGGAUGUGCAGAUCAGUUUUGCUUCUGCUGUUCACUAACCUGUGGGCAAUGGCAAAUGCCAGUUGGCUGCUACUUCAGAAGCUAAAUGCAGUUGCAGGCCCUAAAAUUAUUUCCAGGGAAAAUCAGAUAAAAAAGCAGAAAUAUUUCAUGCAGCAACCAGAAGGUCUGGAGGGAGGGAUGGAAUAGAAGAUAUCAUUGUACCUUUGCAACAGCUGGAAUGGUUUCCAAGGUGUUGUCUGCAAAUCCCUAGUGGACUCCAAGGCUAUGGUGAAUUGAACAUCUGUUUGGCUAAACCAUAACUGUGCUUUAAAUAGUGUUUCCAAUUAAAAGUUUGAUCAGAUGGGUGUGUGGUGGCUUUUGAAAAUUGCUGAAGGCUGAUAAUGAUCUGUUGCUCAAAACAAAGUGGGAACUGAUAUUCUGGAGUGUAUGAAAAAGUAGAGAGUCCUCCCUACCUUCUCAGUUUUAGGAAUGUUGCGUUCUCUUCACAAGAAGCAAAAGGUGCCCAGAAAGGAGCCAGGAAAAGCAGUCUGGCAGCAUUAAUCCUUCUAUCCCCAUCAUGCCUCCCCCAGUAACAGAAGUAUGGGAUUCUGAAUCAUUGUAUUGUCCUUGAGUAUCCCUGAAAUUCUUCAAUGGUCCUGCUUUUCAUAUAUAUUCCCAACUAGUAGAUUUCAUUUUCUGGUAAGUAUGAUUUUUCAAGUCUUGGGUCCUCAUCUGACAAAAAUAAACUUGUCAACUCCUCUACUACAAUAUAUAUCUUUCUUUGAAUUAAAGCCUGAUUUCUCAUUGCCAGAAAAACAGAUUUUAGAAUUUUCCAUUCUGCCAUUAUUAAUGGGCAUAAACUUUCCUUACAAUUAUUAGCAUGUCUUAUUACCCAUUUGUUACUUUUUCAAAAUCCCAAUUGUAUUUGACCAACUUCUUUUAUUUCCCUGAAUGUUAAAGAUAACAUUGUAAAAAGCUUCUUUGCCCUCAUAUCAUGUCUCUUAUUACUUUUUUCUUACUAUUGAAAAUUUUCCAGCAUCAUAAAAUAUUUAUAUUCUCAGUGCUUUUAGUUGCCCUUGACAGAGUUUACUUCCCAUUGUCCUGAGUACCAUACAAGCACAUCCAUAAGUAAUUUGCAGAGAUGUUAGCUUUUCCAACCUUCCGUGCAUAUUUUUGUUAGGAAUUGUGGUGGUGUCAAAUUGGAGGUACACUUAGCUAUAAGCUGUAUUCAAGUAGUAUAAAUAUGUUUAUCUUAAAAAAAUAUCUAAAAGAAAUAAUUUGUCUGAUCUACAAUCACUGCAAUGUAUUGUAUGAAAUUUAAACAAGAUACUGGAAACAAAUACUACCAAUAGCUUUUUUAAAAAGAUGAAGCAAGUUGACAGGUGCUCUGUUUAACCUUUUUAUGUUCUAUUUUUCUUACUCAUGUCUUUUGAUACAAAUGUGGAAAUAAGGAGGGCUGUGCUUGUUUUUAUAUUAUCUUGCUAAAUACCUGUUGCUAGCUUACAUGAUUCUGCUGUUGUCUUUGGUCAGGCUUGAGCUACAAGCUGAAUAUGAGAUUGAGGGGAAUCUUAGCCUUGUAUCAGAAAGCAACUUGUAAGGAAGGAGAGAGUGACUUCUGCUAUACUGUGGGAAAAGGUGGUUUCCUGAAUUUACCUGUGAGCAACAGGAGAGAGGAAUUUAUGACUCCAGGCAAGGCAUAUGGGUAUAGAAGCAGUGAUGGGGUGUAUUGUUAGGUCUGAGGAUAAGUGCAUAAGAAUGAAGAAUUUGGAACAGGUAUCAGAGAAAGGGUUUCAAUAAGAGUUGGAGAGAUCACAGUUGGAUAAACACUCUGGGGUCAGUUGAAAGCCACGUUACUAGAGAACAUGGCUACAGCUCUCUGUCUGACUCUAGCUCACGCCACACUUGUCCUAGCUACACCCUUAUCUGUCUUCUGGAAUCUCAGCUUCUUCUCCAGUUUCUGCUCAUGACCCUUUUAAGUGGAAAACCUACUUUCCUGCUUACUCCAGGAACAAUUACAUGCAAAGGUACAAAUGGUCCUAUAAAUCUUUUACAUCUAAAGUUUGUCUUCUGUCUCACUAUACUUUCUUCAGCCUCCUAUCUGCGGAGUUCUGCACUGCAGAUGCAGAUGGACAAAGGAAUCACAAAAUAGAAUUAUUUAGAUUGGAAAAGGUCCUUAAGAUCAUCAAGUCAACUAUAAACCUAACAGUAAAAGUCCACCACUAAACUGUGUCUUUAAGUGCUGUAUUCACAUGUCUUUUAAAUGCCCUGGACAGCCUGCUCUAGUGCUUAACAACCCUCUCAGUGAAGAAAUGUUUCCUAAUAUCCAAUCUAAACCUUCUCUGGAACAACUUGAGGCCAUUUCCUGUUAUCCUGUCACUGGUUACUGCCUGGAAGAAGAGACUGACCCCCAGCUGGCUCCACUCUCCUUUCAGGCAGUUGUACAGAGUGAUAAGGUCUCCCCGGAACCUCCUUUUCCAUAGACUAAACAACCUCAGCUCCCUCAGCUGCUCCUCGUAGGACUUGAGACCCAGACCCUUCUCCAGCUCCAUUGCCCUUCUCUGAUGCUCCAGCACAUCCAUGUCCUUGUAGCAAGGAGCACAGUACUGGCAGCAUGGUCUCACCAGUGAAUACAAAAGGAUUCAAAUGAGCUGCUGUGGAAAGCUGGCUGCACAAUGACUGUCGGAGUUCAUGAUUCCUGAGAAGUAACACCUUGAAGUUCUGGCACUGUCUUCUACAAAGUAACUUACACUGAGCUGGCUUCCUGUUACUGUGUCAAUGAAACAUCAAAUGUUGAUACUAUGUGUGAAACAACAUUUGAUAUUAUGGCUAUUAAGCUGCUUGAAAAAAUACUAUACAGAUGGAUUUUGUGUUUACGAGACCUGGCAUUUAAAAAUCUAUAUCAUGGAUGCAGGUAAUAAAUGUUGUUUAUUAAUUGUUACAGGAUAGAAAAUACUUAUAUUUGUGUACAAGAUGGUAGUCCUAGCUCUCACUAUUUUUAUCUCCUAAAUAUCUAAUAAUUAGGUGGUUAUAAAUAUUUAAAGAUAUUAAUCAUUUAAUUUGUUGAAGCAUUGUGUGCAUAAUUUAGAAUGGCACUAAAGGAGGGAAAUGGACAUGCCCUUCUCAUAACAGCUACACAUGAGAAGAAGGUAGCAAAGAUAAUGAUAGCAUUCAAAUUUAUAGAAAUUGUUAUGUUUUGCUGUAUGAGCAUUGCCUUUUACAGAAUGAUGAUCUCAUCCAAAGGUUGCAGUUAUCUAAAUAGAUUCAUUGCUGAACUUUAUUCCAGUGUUUUUAUAUCUUUGCUGGAAGUAAGAGAAUACAAACACUUGAAAUUUAAGUUAUUGAUCUUCAUCCAUGCUACAACUUUCAGAAUUUGGUAUUUAACCCCAGAAUUGGAUCUAUAGCUCUUUUAAAUUCUGGAAUUCCAGAAACUGUGCAGGUGAGCAGGAAAAAGCAAAGGAAGAAACUGAAACGGGGAGAAGGAACUCAUUCUCCUUUACAAAAGGAAAGAUGAAAAAAACUUAAUGAGUGUAGGAGAAAUAAUAGGAUGAAAGAGAGGAGUCAGGUGAGGAUUUCCAGUAAUAUUUUUUAUAUAGUGCUCAGAUAUGUUAUGCUUUGUGCUACAUGGAAAACAGAGUGAGACAUCAGCUUUCUAACUGCUGUUCUGAGCUGUACUUUACUCCCUGUGCAUUUUUGUUUUAGCACAGUCACUUCUAAGGAAGGCUUUAAAUUGACUUUCAGGGCUGACCUGAAUCACAAAAUUCAUGCUGAAAUUAUGACUACUUCAUUGUUUGUCUUACCAAGUUAGUCUUAAAAAACCCACUUAUAGACAUGAAAAAAAUCAAAACCAUUUUAAAAAUAUAUGUUUCUGUUAAUUCUAGUCACUAGUAUUUGGGAAAAGGCAAAAGCAGGCAUGCAGUAACAGUAAAGAGUGUCAGAAUUUCUGUGUAAAACCUAAUUAUAAUAAUACCGAAAUUGAAAAGAAAACCUGCUUAUUAGCUGUUACUCAGCAGGAUUAAGCAAAGUCAGUCAAUACAUAACCAAAUGUAGCUGUAGAACAAUGGGUUACUUACAUUGGCACUCAUUACAGGUUAGACACCAGUGUGGAUUUCAUCCAUAGGCUGUAAGAAAACAAAAGAAAUUAGGAAAUUGCAAAAAAAGUUUCAUUCAGUAAUCUGUUCAUGGCUGUGCUUGGUUUCUGCAUGAUUCACAUAGUAUAUAUAGUACUAUGGCAAGAGUAUAUGUUUAGGAAAAUCUUAUACUUUUUAAACUAAGCAAUUAACAAAUAUUCAUAGUGACUAUAACUGGUCUUCAUUAAUUACCAUGCAAAAAACCAUUUAACUACAGAGAUAAGGAUCUCCCAUUUUUGUACAUUCACUCAAUGGUAAGAAUAAACAUUUUAACUGUUCACCUGAGCAACACUUCAGUGUAACUGAGCCCUGAGUUGAUGUAUGGCAGAAUAACACCCCCUCUAAAAGGGGACAGAGAGAGAAAAUGGGUGGGGCAGGGAGAGGCCUUAUGGUGCCACUUCACAAUUAAUUUUGGAAUGGUAACAUCUACUUUUUGGAAUGUAGUGUAUUAAUUUCUGCUGAUAGAGAUAGGUCAGCAUAAGAACUAUGCUAUAAAUUGCUGUGUGAUAGGGUUCCUGUUCCUAUGCCAUGUCUGUGUCACUGGGCAGCAGUUUUUAAGGGCACCCAGUAAAGAUAUGAAUACAGAAAAACUAACAUAACUGUACUCUUCAUUCUAAAAAAAAAAGGAAAUUAAAUGCAGAUAAAAUUUUAGAAGUUCUAAAUUAGAGACUUUUUGGUCUAUUUUAUGGUUAAGCCCUUGCUGUUAUGUUGUUUUGCAUUGAUGUUACAUUAUUUAAUGUUUUGUGAUUCUAAAAUGGUUUAAGUCGUGUAAAUUGUUCAGUGCAAAAUCCCAUUUCAAGUAUAUUUAGAUUCUAUUUAAUUGCAUUGUAACUGGCAACUCUCUGUUGUCCUCAUGUAAUAGGCAGUAUCAAGAUGACUGUAUUCUGAAAUAGUUAUUAGUGGAAGACCACUCCAGUCCCAGGACUAUGUCUCUCAGACUUUCCAUAUGGACAAGGAAGUGCCAACGCUGCCACCCUUUCCGAAGCUUUUCACUCGCUACCUCUCUGACAAUCCUCCUUUCCAUGUUGAAAGUAUUGUCCUAACUUGUGAUGUGGAAGAUUGCUGGCUCUUCCUUUGAUGCUGAUACCAGUAUUUUCUUGACUGAUAGGAUUGUAAUGAAGACAUAGAAAAAGAAGACUAUGGAGCUCACAUGAAUGUUUUAUAGUUUGAGUAGUCAAAAAAUAUUGUUCUUCUGCCUUCAUAUAAAAUGUGUUGGUUUCCCAAUGUGAUUGUAACCUAGAGAUGUUUUUAGAAAUGUAAAAUUAAAUGUGAAGAGUAUAAAAUCCAUAUUAAAGACAUAAAAAUGUUAUAAAAUACAGCACUAGUCUUUAUUUUAACAACUGAGUUCUACAUGGCUCACUUGCAAAAUGUGGUGUAGACUUACAAAGUUGCAUACUGGUAAAGUCUGACUUACUAAAAGAUGAAAUUUCUUUUUCUGUUCAGUAAUUAUUAAAAGGUCAACUUAUUUUCUUUCUCCCUCUGGUAAUAUUUUCUUGUUAUACCUGAUAAAGAUCUCCUUCUCUUGAGUUCUGUCUUCUCCCUUUUUUUUUGUUCCUUUUGUUAACCUAAGUUUGUGGUUCCUUUCUACCUUGGUCUCUCCUAACUCUUUUGGUCCAAUACUGAUCCCUUUUUUCUCAUAUGUUUGCAUCCAUUUGCCUAGAAUAUUGCCUUGAGCAUGACCAUAUAUACCUAAGAAUAUAUUUACUUCUAAAUGCUGGAUGGAUCUGCUAUUUUAGGACUUCCAGUAAAGCAGAAAAGAAACUUAACAAUUCAUGACAGUGUUUUAGGGUUUUUUUAUGAUACAUAUGCCUUCAGAGGAUCAAAGUACCUUGCUUCCAACAUCAAUGGAAUAGUAACUAUAGACAGAGAUAAACAUUCCUGUAAAAAUAAAGACCUAUGGUACUUGUUCAAUAUAGGAAUGCUAACUUAAAAAGAGCAUGAAUGAAACCAUGCUGUGUUCAUAAAUGGUAUGGCAAACGUUUUCAGUUUUGUUUGCAUAUAAAGAAAAAUGCGAUUGGAAAGAGUGCUUUGUACUGAUAGCAAUGUAAGGAAAUAGAAUUUUUUUUAAAAGACAACUAAAAUGUAUACAUGCAUAAAAUCAGAAGAAUUUUUGAAAAUCAUGCUCUGCUGUAGCAGAAACACUGAAUAACAGUUAAAGUUUUUAUGGGAUAGAUACCUACCUAUUUUAUUAGGUAUACUAAAUGUACUUUAGAUAAUCUAAAUUAUUUGGAUUGCAGUAAAAUGAAUACCAUGAGAAAACAUAAACAGCGAUGUUCAGAACUUUUGCUUUAUACAGGCAUGUGUAAAAUAUAGCAAAAAUAAUGGCACUAAUAAUAGCAAUAUACUAGAAAAUUA
Long non-coding RNA from Melospiza melodia melodia, 13816 nucleotides. RefSeq lists it as uncharacterized. The record is from RefSeq and is a predicted model, not a curated record. Lineage: Eukaryota; Metazoa; Chordata; Aves; Passeriformes; Passerellidae. The transcript has 9 exons.